UUUUUGGCAGGCGGGUCAGCCGCAUCCGCACGGCCCUUAGACGCCGAACAGUGGAAACUAUUCCAAAUACGCAUCUCGUUUCAAAUUUGACCGGCAAACCAAACCCAGAAAGAACAGCGAACUGGACCAAGUGCCGAGGGUCGUAAGCUUGGACCGUGCGUGCGUGCGUGCGUGCAAAAACCCCAUCGACUAAAACGUGCACCUGAUCGCAUCGCAUAGUAGGAGAGCAGUUCAGAAACAAAACACAAUCCUCUCCGACUUUCCCCUUCCCGGAGAUGCAAAAAGGCCUCGUCGCCCACCCGACAAACCCCGGAUAGCGGUGGAAAGCGAUAGAACCCGCCAGGGCCUCGCACGUCACCGCAUCCCGUUCCCCCCCGAGUCCGUCGACAGCGACUGCCCGGUCGCCGGAGAAAAUGACGUCGACCGUGGUCACCGUCACCGUCACCACCACCGCCACCNNNNNN
RNAcentral lists this long non-coding RNA (464 nucleotides) under Hordeum vulgare. RNAcentral describes it as "long non-coding RNA (HVUL_LNC005348)". Lineage: Eukaryota; Viridiplantae; Streptophyta; Magnoliopsida; Poales; Poaceae. The record is from RNAcentral.